CACAGCUGCAGCGGCGAAGGAGAGAGAGUUAGCUUGGGUGAAAAUAGCUUCUAGAGUCAAUGCGUAAGUUUACAUUUUAAUUACUUUUAUACAGUGUUGGGUGUAAUGAAUUAAGUUACUUAAGUCAUAUAAAUACUGUAAUUAAAUUAAAGACUAUAAAAAAAUAGUGGAUUUAAUAUCAAAUUUUUAAAAGGUAUAUUUUGAUUUGAACUUUCUCCCUCUAGUUAAACACUUUGGUCAAUUUAAGAUUAAUUCAUGCAAUUGAAUAUUGUUUAUUUGAAAGCAUUAGAGGUGCAGUUUCUUGUCUCUCCUUGUAUUGUUCAAGUGGUUGAGGUUGAUUUGGGAUUUAGAAAGUAAUUAAUAAGUAAGUAAAACAAAUUAGUAAGUAGACCAAUACUUUCUAGAGACAGUAAUUAUUACAUUAAUCUAAUUAGACUUGUUGAAGAUAAAAUUUGUAGUUAGUAAUUAAGAACUAUUUUAGAGUAACUUACCCAACUGUUAUAAUAUCAGAGGUGAAACUGGAAGAACAGUAUUUUAUUAAACCUAAUUUAGUUUUCAUGGAUAGGUGCAAUCCUGCAGGCAU
Long non-coding RNA from Cyprinodon variegatus (sheepshead minnow), 583 nucleotides. RefSeq lists it as uncharacterized. The transcript is spliced from 2 exons. NCBI's taxonomy places the organism in Eukaryota, Metazoa, Chordata, Actinopteri, Cyprinodontiformes, Cyprinodontidae. The record is from RefSeq and is a predicted model, not a curated record.